GUGCUUGCUUCAGCAGCACAUAUGCUAAAAUUGGAAUGAUACAGAGAAGAUUAGAAUGGCCCCUGUGCAAGGAUAACAUGCAAAUUUGUGAAGCGUUCCAUAUUUUU
Molecule: small nuclear RNA, 107 nt
Filed under: Sus scrofa (pig)
Lineage: Eukaryota; Metazoa; Chordata; Mammalia; Artiodactyla; Suidae
Source: RNAcentral